Long non-coding RNA from Dreissena polymorpha, 3858 nucleotides. RefSeq lists it as uncharacterized. The transcript has 2 exons. Lineage: Eukaryota; Metazoa; Mollusca; Bivalvia; Myida; Dreissenidae. The record is from RefSeq and is a predicted model, not a curated record.
CUUAAAAUGCGAAUUUUUUUUUUAGGUUUUGACAUUUUUGCUACAUUAAGUGCUCAUGCUCAUUUGCUGUUCAACAUGGAUUGACAGUCAUUUUGGAAGAAAAUGGUCUGUGAAACUUCAUCAGAAAACAAUGUCAAUGGAAGGAUCAUUAAUUGUUGAAUGUCUUUAGUAUUAAGUCUCAUGAAAUAAAAUAACUAAUAAAUGAUCGGAUAAUCAUAGACCAUAAUUUGUGAUUCUAUUAUCUGAUAUCUCUACAAAAUGUGUUUUUUUUUUCAAUUAAAUAAAAGGCUAAGUUGUGUAGUAUUGUAUAUUGCAUCUACAAUUUCCAGUGAUGUAUAUAAAUCAUAUUGAACAACUUUGCCAAUUUUGAUGAAAUUGAUAUUUUAUACAUAACAUUACAUAAAUAAAACAAAAUAAGUACACAAGAUGAAAAAUACAUUUUUAUUUAGAAUAAUUGUUUAGAUACUGUUACUAGUACCACAAUGCUGACAAAUGUACCCUUUUCAAUGUGUUCAACAAGUGAUUGUGCUCACACUUUUAUCUCUCAAUAUUUUUAUGCCCCCGAAUCGAAAGAUCGGGGGUAUAUUGUUUUUGGCUUGUCCGUCUAUCUGUCAUUCAUUGUGUCCCAAAACUUUAACAUUGGUUAAAGUUUUGCAAUAACUUUUGCAUUAUUGAAGAUAGCAACUUGAUAUUUGGCAUGCAUGUGUAUCUAAUGGAGCUGCACAUUUUGAGAGGUGAAAGGUCAAGGUCAUCCUUAAAGGUCAAAUAUAUGGCUUCAAAGCGGCGCAAUAGGGGGCAUUGUGUUUCUGACAAACAUAUCUCUGUUUAGUUCACCUGAGCACAACGUGCUCAUGGUGAGCUAUUGUGAUCGCCUUUUUGUCCGUUGUGCGUCCGUCAUCAACAUUUGCCUUGUGAACACUCUAUUGUCAAAUCUUCAUGAAACUUGGUGAGAACAUUUGUCCCAAUGAUACCUCGACCGAGUUCGAAACUGGGUCAUGCUGGAUCAAAAACUAGGUCAUUAGGUAAAAAAAAAGAAAAAUCUUGUGAACACUGUUGAAGUCACAUUUGAUGCCCAAUCUUCAUGUAACUUUGUCAAAAUGUUUGUCUUAAUGAUAUGUUGGUUGAGUUCAAAAAUGGUUCCGGUCCAUUAAAAAACAUGGCCGCCAGGGGGCUGGGCAGUAUUCCUUAUAUGGCUAUAUAGAAACCUUGUGAACACUCUAGAAGUAACAAUUUUUGCCCAGUCAUCAUGAAACUUGGUCAAAACAUUAGUUUCAUUGAUAUCUCGGACGAGUUUGAAAAUGGUCCAAAUCGGUGAAAAAACAUGGCCACCAGGGGACGGGGCAGUUUUCUCUAUAUGUAAAUAGUGAAAACAUGUGAACGCUCUAGAAGCCACAUUUUUGGUCCAAUCUUCAUGAAAUUUGUUCAGAACAUUUAUUUCCUGGAUACGACAGUUGAGUUUGAAAAUGGUUAGGAUCAGUAAAAAAACAUGGCCGCCAGGGGCAGGGCAGUUUUGCUUAUAUGGCUAUAGUUAAACCUUGUUAACACUCUAGGAGUCACAUUUAUAGUCAAAUCCUCAUGAAACUUGGUCUGAACAUUUUUUUUUAUAAUAGCUAGGCUGAGUUUAAAAAUGGUUUCGGUCUGUUGAAAAAUAAAGCAGCCAGGGGGCGGGGCAGCUUUGCUAAUAUGGCUAUAGUGAAACCUUGUUAACACUCUAGAAGUAACAUUUAUAGCCCAAUCUUCAUGGAACUUGGUCCGAAGAUUAGUUGUAUUGAUAGCUUGGCUGAGUUCGAAAAUGGUUACGGUUUGUUGAAAAACAUGGCAGCCAGGGUAGCGGCAGUUUUCAUAAUAUGACUAUAUUAAAUUAACACUCUAGUUGUAAUGCGGAUGUUGGUGCACAAUGAUGAUGAUGAUGACGAUGAUAAUGAUUAUGAUGAUACUGGUAAUGAAGUGUUACAUAUGAAUCUUAUUUGGCUUUUUAUUCACUUAUCCUAGGCUACUCUCUAUAAAACUCAUUUAUACCUGUGCCUGCAUUGUUGCCAGGUGGUAAUUGUGUAACACUCCUGGAAAUUGACCCCCAUUAACUGGUCACUUUCAUCAAAGAACUUUGUGUUGAUGUCAGAUGGAAACCAUUCAUAAGAUACAUAAGACAUUACAACUUUAAAUAUUUUACCCCUACAAUUUUCAGUUAGUCAGUAGUUUGUGUGUGAUUAUGAAAGAUUUGUGAUUUUAGCAGGUUUUAUUGUUGUUUCAAUUGGAAAUAUCAAUGCAAGGUGAGUCCUAAAAUUGUUUCAGUUGUUUAAAACACUUUUUCAAAAAUGUGAACAAUUUGGUAGUAAAAAAACAACAACUUAUCACAUCUUUUAAGAAGCACAAACAACUGUUUGAAGAAAAGUUGAUUUGCAUUUGUUUUUGCAAAAAUAAUAUAUUUAUGCUACAGAUUUUUUUUGCAUUUAAAUUACAAAUAGUUUGAUAGUUGUUUUGAUAUGAUACGUUUUCAAAUGUCUUGUGUAUGUUUACUUCUAUAUUUGCACACAUUUAUAACUAUAAGAAAGAUCAAAUGAUGUUUUGUACUAUAAAAGAAGAUCAAUCUUGAAUUUCUAGUAGCUUUACAUAUUCUCAUACUCAUUUACUUUUUUAUAACUGACUUUGAUAUAUAAAAACAAUUCAACAUAUUUAAUUAUGCAAAAAAUAUUUUAUAAAAACACAAUCUCUUGAACAAAUACAGUUGUUUUCAGUAUCUAAAAGUGUCCUUGCUAAAAAGAUUGUUAACAGUCAUCCCCUAUAAGAUGCUGAGAUGCUUAUCUCAUGAUCUCAAGUUUGGACAACAAUUUGUUGAAAAAUGUACUUCCAUUUUCUUUUGCUGAUGCUCAUUAUUAAAUUACUGUCCUCAUAUUACUUUUAUCCAAAAUAAUUUAAGCUUUGUCGCAACGGGUAACAAAUGUCUAUUUAAAAAAAUUGAAACACACACACACAAAACUACUGAUAACGCAUAUAUGUAUAUAAUUAUCUGCUGAAACAGCAAACCUCUUCUUUUCACAAAACAACGUUAACAACCCUUGUUUCCUGGAUACGACGGAUAUGAAGGUCGAGUUCAAAAAUGGUUUUGAUCCAUCUAGUAACAUGAUCGCCAGCCUCAGGGGGGGGGGGGGGGUCAUUUUCCUUAUAUUUAUAUACUGAAAAAGCCUGUGAACACUCAAAAGUCACAUGUUUUGGCCAAUCAUCACGAAACUUUGUCAAAACUUUGGUUUUAUUGAUAUGUCGGAUGAGUUUGAAAAUGGUCGUGAUCAGCGGAAAAAUAUUGCCGCCAGGGGAUGGGGCAGUUUUCAAUAUAUGUUUGUAAGAAGAAUUUUCCUUAAAUACAUUUUUUUUAAAUCUGGGUAUUAAAAACAUGGCUGCCAGGUGGGUGGGGUAAUUUUCUAUAUAGGCCUAUUUUGAAUACUUUGGAACACCUUAUUUUUAAAGUCAGUCUUGUCAUACUAAUAAUUUGAAAUAUUUGCUGAAGAGUUUUAAUCUUUGUUUCUUUUAAUCUAAGUCUCUCAGGUGAGCGACCCAGGGCCCUUUGGGGUCUCUUGUUUGUAUCUCUAAACAGUUCAGAUAUUCACUUUCAAUAGUCACCCAUUACUGCACUGCAUACAUUUUCAUAUAUAUUUACAUGAACUUUGAGGGAAAAGGAAUUUCAGUUUGAUUAUUGGCAAAUAUAAAAUUUGUAGCCAACUGUUAAUUAAUAAAAAAAUGUGCAGUAAUUUGUAUGUGAUAAUCAACUUCUACUCAGAUAUGUGUUAUUUUGCUUUUGAUAUUACUUUUUGUAUAUUUGUAUUGUACUUAUUUUGUACCAAAUAAAAAAGCAUUACCAUCCUA